This 497-nucleotide ribosomal RNA is filed under the name uncultured bacterium. RNAcentral describes it as "partial 16S ribosomal RNA". It matches the Rfam family "Bacterial small subunit ribosomal RNA", at positions 28 to 507 of the family's 1533-position model. The record is from RNAcentral.
GAUGAACGCUGGCGGCGUGCCUAAUACAUGCAAGUCGAGCGAACAGAUGAGGAGCUUGCUCCUCUGACGUUAGCGGCGGACGGGUGAGUAACACGUGGAUAACCUACCUAUAAGACUGGGAUAACUUCGGGAAACCGGAGCUAAUACCGGAUAAUAUAUUGAACCGCAUGGUUCAAUAGUGAAAGACGGUUUUGCUGUCACUUAUAGAUGGAUCCGCGCCGCAUUAGCUAGUUGGUAAGGUAACGGCUUACCAAGGCAACGAUGCGUAGCCGACCUGAGAGGCGGAGGGGCCCCACUGGAAGUGAGCCAUGGGCAGUAGUCGGAAGGGAGGCAGAGGAAGGGAAUGUUGCGCAGUGGGGGAAAGGCUGACUAAGCAACGGUGAGGGGGGAAUGACGAUGUUAGGAUCGUCAAAGUCUGUUGUUACGGACGCAAAAAUGUGUCCGUAGCUACGCAAGUCUUGACGGUGCCUGAUAAGAGAGCCACGGCUAACUACGUG